Molecule: long non-coding RNA, 3802 nt
Filed under: Homo sapiens (human)
Lineage: Eukaryota; Metazoa; Chordata; Mammalia; Primates; Hominidae
Description: HSALNT0364823
Source: RNAcentral
AAUCAACUAAGUGCCCUUUUAAAAGGGCCUCUGCCCCUUCCACCAAGUGAGGACACAGCAAGAAGUCAUGCUCUAUGAGAAAGCUGGCUCUCACCAGACACCAGAUCUGCUGGCACCUUGAUCUUGGACUUCUCAGACUUCAAAACUGUGAGAAAUAAGUUUCUGUUGUGUAUUAGCUACCCAGUUUACGGUAUUUUGUUGCAACAGCAUGAACAACCUAGGACAAUAAUUUUAAUGUGUAAAAUUAAAUUUAAAUGUUAAAUUAAGUUUAGCCUAAAGCUACUUCCUUACAUAUUUUAAGUUCAGCCUAAAGGUUUCUCCAUACAUAGUGAACUGUAACCUAACUGAAUGUGCAAACAGACUAUGACCUGCUCUUGUGACAAGCAGCUGAGGCUCAGCCAAUCACAGCAGCUGAGUUUCAGCCAAUCACAGGUGGCCAACUGUUUGUAUAAGGCAAACACCCAGCUGUCACCAAUCCAGCUGUUUCUGUACCUCACUUCUGUCUUUAGUCCGUCACUUUCCUUUCUCCAUAAAUGUUAUUCAACCACGUAGUAGCCCCGGGUUUGCUCUGAACCUGUUCUGGUUCUGGGGGCAGCCCAACUAUUGUAUCAUUCUCUGCUCAAACACUGUUAAAUUUAAUUUGUCUAAAGUGUUUCUUUUAACAAAGAGAAGGUGUAUUAGAUUUCCACCUAAUUUGAAAAUUUCAAAGCCAUAAUGGAGAAGCGCAGGCACUACUGGUCAUUUUUGUCCAGUAGAUGGAGCCCUAGUAGAAAGGAAACAGUCUGGCAAGUAUCAAAAUUUCUCAGAGGAAGAUUUGAACGGGGAAUUCACUGUGGAUUCCACACCCUAAGAGUCCAUUAGGCAGCCUGCCAGAGUUCUCCCCAGCCAGUCUGAGUGAGAACUCCCAGCGGAAGGACCCUGAAAUGAACUAAUAAAGUAACCAGCAGGACAAAGCAAUGUGCCAUGGAAAGAACAACAGAUUUGAUUUUAAUCCGAAUGCCAAGAGUUUGUUUUUGCAAACAUACAAAACUUUAGGAAUUAAGGUGGGUUGGAGGUGGAUUUGUGAUACUCAUUGGAUUAGAAAUAAAAGGUUAACAAGUAUAUUAAAAUUAAAGCCAUAAGGCUGUGAUUUUAUGGUGUGUAUGUAUUUGAGGGAAAGAGGAAAAAAUACAUUUAAAAGGCUUGUAAUUCCCUAAAUACCCAUGACUUAUUAAUUAUACAUGGAGUAAUUAAUAAUACAUAGAGUAAUUAUUACAAUAAUACAUGGAGUAAUUAAAAUUUCUGCAACAUUUGAUUAUCAAGAUGUGAUAUAAUUUAUUGAAUUGGAUUAUAGUUUGUGGAUGUGCUUAGCGCUCUACUACUUUUUAAAAUGCUCUCCCACACAUCAUCAUCAGAGCACAUCUCAGAGAUGGAAAUUUGUGAUUUGCCCAAGGUUAGUGGGGCAACUGAUAAAAAAAGGAUCCUGUCUUACAUACUCCCACCCUUUGUUGUAAGCUCCUGUUGGAUGCCAAGAAUCACCUGCUGCCUUAGUUCUUUGAACAGGUUUUAUGUGUUUGAUGGAAAAAGGGCACUUUUCAAGAGAGAGAAUAGCUGAGCUUUGAAGAAUGGAAUGACCAGGAUCUGAGUAGAGAGAGUGGCAGGAAGGGGAGCUGGGGCUAGGCAAGCUUGGGUUCACAGAGCUGCCCCUCUCUUAUCUACCUGGUGGAGGGGGAGUAGAGAUCAUGAUACUCCAACCCCUCUCUUCAUGAACCUGGAGUAGGGAGAGUAGAAGAGAGAGGGAACAGGGGAAUCUCAUAAGAUUGCUUGGUAGCAUAACGACCUCGGCGAAUUUAAAGUGGAACUGAGGUCCUUAGUCUUAGUCCAUUUGUGCUGCUAUAACAAAGUAUCUUACACUGGGUAAUUUAUAAACAACAGAAAUGUAUUGCUCACAGUUCUGGAGGCUGGGAAGUCCAAGAUAAAGUGCCAGCAGGUUCAAUGUCUGGUAAGGGCUCAUUGCACAGAGAUGGUACCUCUUGCUGCAUUCUCACAUGGUAGAAGGGAGCAAACAGCCUCCUUUUAAUCUCCUUUACAUUAUCCCAUUUAUGAAGGCAGUCUUCAUGACUUAAUCACUUCCCCCAAAGUCUCCACCUCCAUGCUAUGACAUUGAGGAUUAAGUUUCAGCCUAUGAUUUUGGAAAGCAUACCAACAUUCAGACCAUAGAACCAGCCAAUGAGAUUGUGGGCUAUUCUUCCACCAUACUCAAUGGGCAAAGACAUGGAGUAGGGCAGAGAGCUGGAUUUAACCAGGGUUGGAGUUUGGCCAAGUGAGUUUAAAGUACAAUUAAAAGGACAAGGGAGUUUGGGAUCUAUUCAAGAGGGUGACUAUGAUGGACCAUCCAAUUUCAGUUGGAUAAGGAAGUUGAGGACAGCAAGUCACAGUCACAGUCUGAGCCAAUUCUCAGUGGCCAGGGCUAUAGAAGGACACAGGCCAUAAGAAGAUAAGGAGGAACCUUGCACUGCUGGCCUCUGACAAAUGCAAGCUCCACAAGGCCAGGAAUCUUUCCUGUCCAAUUCACCACAGCAGCCUCAACCUGGCAGACAGUUCAGCAUACAGAGUAAAGCUAAGUGCCUAUGAUACUCCUGCUUGGUGCCUGGAGCUGAGGUGUUCUCCUAAGGUAAAGGGUGAUCCUGGAGAAGGGGCUUUCCAUUCUCCAUGCACAGAUGGACCUGUCCAUCACUCACACCCUCCAGAAUCCACAGUGAGCAAAGGCAAUUUCUCCAAAAUUAUAUCUAUUUUAUUUUACUUUCUUUUUUUUUUUUUUUGCAUUUUUGCAUGUUACAGGAAAAUAAAUGUGUUUUAAUUUUUUUAUCUUAAGACCUAAUCACUUUUAUUUCAUAUCCAGGGAGAAAAGACAAAAUAUUUUAAAAUUGGCAACCGGGCAUGGUGGCUCAUGUCUGUACUCCCAGCACUUUGGGAGGCCGAGAUGGGCGGAUCACUUGAGGUCAGGAAUUCAAGACCAGCCUGGCCAACAUGGCAAAACCCCAUCUCUACUGAAAAUACAAAAAAGAAAAAAAAAUUAGCCACCUUGGAUGUGGGCAUCUGUAAUCUCCGCUACUCAGGAGGCUAAGGCAGGAGAAUCACUUGAACCCGGGAAGUGGAUGUUGCAGUGAGCUGAGAUUGUGCCACCGUACCCCAGCCUGGGUGACAGAGCAAGAUUCCAUCUCAAAAAAAUAAAAUAAAAUAAUAAAAUUAAAAAUUGGCAUUUGGGAUAACAAGGAAGCUCCAUUCUGAAAUAGAUUCCAAUUAGAUCAAAGAUUGAAAUGCUAAAAGGAAAUUGCAAGGCACUAGAGGAAAACACGGAAAGAACCCCCAUUAAAUAUUGUAGACUGACCAUAUGCUUUCAUCUUCUCUCCCUGUCGUAGGCUAAAUAAUGGCUCCCAAAGAUGUGUCUACAUCCUAAUCUCCAGAAUCUGUGAAUGUUACUUUAUGUGGCAAGUACGUGGCAGAUGUAAUUAAGUCAAGGAUCUUUGGAUGGUUAUCCUGAAUUAUCUGGGUGGGCCCUAAAUACAAUCACAAGUGUCCUUAUAGGAGAGAGGCUGAAGGAGAUUUGGUACCAACAGAAGAGGAGGAGGAAAUUGUGAUCAUGCAGAAACUGGAGUGAUGGAGUCACAAGCCAAGGAAUGCCAGCAGCCACCAGAAGCCGAAAGAGGCCCUGCCAACACCUUGAUUUAGGCCUAAUGAAACUGAGUUUAGAUUUCUGGACCCCAGAACUGUGAAAGAAUAAAUUUCUGUUGUGUUAAGCCCCUAAUUUUGUGGUAAUGUG